CCGGGAUAGCCCAGGGAAACCUGGAUUAAUACCGGAUGAGACGGGACCCGCGAUGGCGGGAUCCGGGAAAGGCGCUGCGGCGCGCCGGGGGAUGAGUCUGCGUCCCAUUAGCUAGACGGCGGGGUAACGGCCCACCGUGGCGACGAUGGGUAGCCGGCCUGAGAGGGUGGACGGCCACAUUGGAACUGAGACACGGUCCAGACUCCUACGGGAGGCAGCAGCUAAGAAUCUUCCGCAAUGGGCGAAAGCCUGACGGAGCGAACCGCCGCGUGAACGAAGAAGGCCGUGAGGUUGUAAAGUUCUUUUCGGGAGGGGGAACAACCGUGGCAGGGAAUGGCCGCGGGAUGACGUGAAUCCCGGAAUAAGCCCCGGCUAACUACGUGCCAGCCGCGGC
Molecule: ribosomal RNA, 394 nt
Filed under: uncultured bacterium
Lineage: Bacteria
Description: bacterial SSU rRNA
Rfam family: Bacterial small subunit ribosomal RNA
Source: RNAcentral